CAGUCGCCGCGGUAAUACGAAGGGGGCUAGCGUUGUUCGGAUUUACUGGGCGUAAAGCGCACGUAGGCGGACUUUUAAGUCAGGGGUGAAAUCCCGGGGCUCAACCCCGGAACUGCCUUUGAUACUGGAAGUCUUGAGUAUGGUAGAGGUGAGUGGAAUUCCGAGUGUAGAGGUGAAAUUCGUAGAUAUUCUGAGGAACACCAGUGGCGAAGGCGGCUCACUGGACCAUUACUGACGCUGAGGUGCGAAAGCGUGGGGAGCAAACAGGAUUAGAUACCCGCGUAGUCCCUGUCUCUUAUAU
This 301-nucleotide ribosomal RNA is filed under the name uncultured bacterium. Its description in RNAcentral is "partial 16S ribosomal RNA". It matches the Rfam family "Bacterial small subunit ribosomal RNA", at positions 509 to 809 of the family's 1533-position model. The record is from RNAcentral.